AAGGAAAUUUAAAUAAAGUAGCUGCUAACUAACUUUUAAAGCGAUUAACUUCCGUUUUUUCCUUA
Molecule: transfer RNA, 65 nt
Filed under: Muda kuroiwae
Lineage: Eukaryota; Metazoa; Arthropoda; Insecta; Hemiptera; Cicadidae
Description: tRNA-Ser
Source: RNAcentral